Molecule: long non-coding RNA, 3019 nt
Organism: Platichthys flesus (European flounder)
Lineage: Eukaryota; Metazoa; Chordata; Actinopteri; Pleuronectiformes; Pleuronectidae
Exons: 6
Source: RefSeq, a predicted model, not a curated record
GCUUAUCCCAUGUUCCUGCAGAAGGAAGUCUCUGCCAUCUGUCCUCCAACCUUCUUUUGCAUGGACGUUAUUUGCAAAUAUUGGCCUUACAUCAGCAGAAUUUGUGAAGCCUACCCUGAAUAUCAUCACCUCACUACUAUGCAACCCUUUCUGUCUGUGCUCCAUGCUAAAGCACACGGUAUCAAGUGUGAGAUAAAAUGGGGAGGAGGAAAUCAGGAUGGAGCUGGUUCCACCUUGGGAGAGGAGGUGGAAAUGGUCAACUCCUUCCUCUCCAGGACUGCCAUAAACACCAAGUUUAUGGGAAAAGGAGCCCGCACAGACAUGCUGACUGUCCAGAUCAUGGACUGGAACUAAAGGAAGGUGAAAAACAUGUGCAAUACCUUAUGCUCCAGAUUUCAUAAGACACAAAGGGAUCUUCAGAGGGAGAAGCAGAGCCUAGAGGCUAUCAAGGAGGACCUGUCUUUGAAUGAUGAGACUGUGCGGCAGUGGGUCACAGAUGUACAGGAUUGGGCUGAACAUGAUUCACCAGCUGGCAGCAGUGAUUCUCUCCUGGAAGUGAGGAGAAGAAUUGAGGAGAAUUCACUGGGCCUGAGACAGCUUAGAGCCCGUCUCUACAGUCAUACAGACACCAACUCAGGACGCUCUGUGAUUCUCAGCCGCAUGUGGAGGGAAAGGAACCAGCUUGAGGUCCAUGUGGCUCAGCACGACGAGAUGGUCCAGCCACAACAGCAAAUUGGUGCUGUUGACAAUCUCUUAAAUGCUGGCUACAUCUUUCCGUGCCUGUUGCCGCCCAGUGGUAUAUUACCUAUUUAAUUAUUUGUCAUGAUUCUGAUUGAGGGUGUCCCAGGUGCCAGCAGGUGAACUAAGCAUUGUGGACGAUAUAGACACAGCUUGAUUGGUAUUGUUGUAGCAUAUACAUUAAUUCUGUGAACUUCUACGGUGUUUGGUUUGUUAGUCAUUCCGAAGAGUUUCUGUCGUAUCUAAGAGGGUUGCUAUGGACGCUUUUGUCGCUCCUUGCCGUCAAACCGCAACACUUUGUAAAUUGCCCCCGUUACAUUACUAUCUUUUCAUAUAGUGCAAGGCAUUGGUAGAAGAAGGACACACAAGAUGUGUAUUUAAUCAGGACAAAAUGCCUUUUUAUUUUCCUCGCCCCAUAAAUUCCUCGCUCUACAGCACAUAACCACGUCCGUAACAAGAGCCGUGCGCCGGACGUUGCGUCAUUCUCCUUCCCCCCCCCCAACCCCGCCUCCACACUGCCUCGCGCCGGAUGUUGAGUCAUUCUUCUCCUUCACCUACCGCACCUUACCUGUCCCUUGCUCCAAGCAUAUACAUUCGUCAAUGGUUUGCUACUACCACCUGCCUUAACUUUUUGUGAAUAUGGGGAGAGAAGAGUCAUAGGGAAAAAUGAUGAUGCUAUUAUUUUUGAAAUAAUGUAUCCCAUUUGUUUUUUAGUUUUAAAUCUGUUUUCCUCAAUGGUUUUUCCCCUUCCACCUCUGUGAACUAAUGCAUGUAAUUUUCAUGGAUGCAUUUUUAGAUGGCAUUGAUUUCCUUGCAAAAAAUAAGGUGUUUGACAAUGUCAUGCAUGUGAAAAGACUUGAGGAGGAGGUCAAAAUCCUUGCUACCGAAGUAAGGCAGCAUUGGGAGUACCUCAAGAAAAGAGAGCAUGACUUGUGUUGGGACAUGGUUUUUGUGCAAACCACAGGCCUCCUCUAAGUCAAACUUGCUGCAUGUGCUGGAGUGGACUCAAUCCCCCAAGAUGCAACAGGUUCCAUUGAUCUUUGAAAGUCAAGGAACUCAGUCUCCCAGAGGAUGUAACAGGAUGCUGCAUGUCCUUGGGGUCAGGGCAAUAUCACACAAAGGUGUCAAGAGCCACCAGGGUCAACUCCUAUUGGUCACUCUGGUCCAAGACCUGUGAGGUCACGGGGGCCAAUAUAAGGAGAGGUCUCCCCAAGAUCUUUCUCUUUCUACAAUCCUUCGAAGGCCAGCAGGCUGUCCAGCCUCUCUUCUCCUACAUCGCCAAGGGGGGGGGGCCUGGCUGAUCCAGCUUCCUUCUCUAUCCAACUCGCAACUGGAGGUCAGAGGUGCAGCUCCCCUGCCCACACUCUUCAAGGAAAUCUCCUCGCCCUUCAAGCUCUACCAAACUCCUCGUAGCGACGCGAUGUCCUGCAGGAAAACUUCAACCAGCAUCUUAGCACACGGCUCGACAGAAUCGCGAAUGCAGAAAUCUACGACCACAAAGCCAGGAGACGUCACAGAACUGCAAACUGAACAGCAACUUCUUUUCCUCUUUCCCUCGGACUGGUAACAUAAUCUGGGCUUAAUAAUUAUACUACGCUAAGCAAGACUGUUUAUUUGAUCGGUGUGUGCUUAUAAGUUUGAUAUAUGCUCUGACGUUGAAGGCAUAAGUUAAAGGAAGGUUACUAGUUAGGCUCGCCACAGGCUUUGUCCCUGACUAUCAUUAUCUGAUUAACAUCCACACAGACACGCAUAGCAUCUCACCUAGUUAAACCUUCCCCCUGUGCCGUGAGGCAACCUCAGAAGAAGGGGGGGGGGGGGGCUCUUAUCUUAGGGAGCAUUCUUUAAAGCAUGCUAAUUUACAUUCACACACACACUCACACACCUCCUAGUUAGUUAGUUUGAUUGUUUAGUAACUUGUGUUUUUAUACUUUAUUAUGUUAAUAAUAAAUGUUCUUCUUUCACAAAUGUUCUGUCAUUAAUAUUGCAUAAGUGAAUCUUGCCAACCGUUACACUGCUAAGAACUCCAUAACCUUCAUUGUUCAUUAUAUAAUCUUUAAUGGUCAAAUAUUGAGAUUUCUAAUUGAACAAGAUCUAAAUGAGACUGAUCUUAAUCAAUAAAUUGGCUAUCUUUUCCCUUCUAUGAAGGGUGGUGCCCCGCGAGAACUUUAACCAAUUAAAGUUAUGAUUUAAUAUUAAUAUUUUAAAUAUUAAUGUUUUACAUUUUAUUUUGAUAACCAAAUUUAUUGAGUGCCUAAAGGCACACCAUUCUAUGGUAACUCUU